CUUUAUUUGAGGAUGCUGCAUAAACAUCAUUAAACAUAUGAUAAAAUGGAAAUAAGAGUUUCCCAGUCUGUAUGCGCAAAUGUUUGGCGUGGAGAUUACUGAUGAAGAGUUUGAGCUGCUACUUGACAGAAUCCCCCUUGAUGAAGAUGGAAAUGUCAGAUACCCCCAGUUCAUGGCCAGGUUUGAUUCCUGAGGGCCGUGUGGAAUCGUCCUAAUCCGGGAAGAGCCACUGCCUCCCUGUGUGAUCUGACACAGUGACAUAUCACUUGACCUCGGUCGCGGCAGCUGUACAGCGAGGUGGAAAAGGCGGCUGACGGACAAGCAGGGGAUGCCUUUCAGCACAGCUUCCUCGGGGACUAAAUGUGAACAGGGCUUCAGGGAAUAGAUGUGUUGCUAGUUGAAAAUGCUGUAGCAGCUCUGACCCUCGAAAUUUUGAAGCUGGGGACUAAAUCAGUGUUUCACUGAGCAGCACUUGCACAUUUUGAGUGAAUGCCUUUAUCUGGAAAAGACAAACAUCCCAGGAGUCUGUAAGAAGUAAGAAGUAAGCUGUUGCAGCUUGAAUUUGUGAGAGGACUUCUGUGGAGCCUGAACCACCUCCCUCCAUCUCAAAGGAGACCGAGCCUUCCCUCUUUCUUAAAGGUGUGUUUGUAUUCUCUUUUCAGCAAGGCACCCUGGCAGCCUGCAUAGUAAGAUUGUAGCUCAGCAAGCUCCUGCUUGCAGCAUGUCCCAGCAGGCUGCAGAAGGGGAACGUGGAAAGGCAGACCCACUCCAAGGCUUUUGACUUGCCACACCUUUCCGAGAGGAUGACAUCUCAGAGGCUCUGUGUCUGUCCCAGAUUGUGACUGUUUUCUUCUGAAGAGCAAACGUGAGAUUCAAAGAGCGCCUGGCAAAAGCUGCUUCUAGUACUGCAGCAGCAGCAUGGGAAAUAUUUCAUGUAUGUAGAAGAUAGAGCAUCUGUGUAGGCGGUUGUUUUCUGCAACUCUCUGUGAGUUUGGGGAGAAGUUAUUAAGUACUGCUUCUCCUUCUUUCUUUAAAAAAGGACAGAGAGAGAAAGCCUGCAUUUUCUACCAUUUCCCAAGAGGCUUUUUAUCUGUUUAAACCAACUAGGGAUUUUUCACAUAUUGACAUAAGCAUUCAUUUGCUAAUUUGCUGGACAUUAAACUGCACAGCAUUCUUGAAUGAGGCUGGAAUACUUGGGUACUUAGUGCUGCUCAGACCCCGCAUCAUUCCCAGUACACAUAUGGUUUUCCUCCUCUAUCUCCUAGAUAAAAGUCACUGUUUGAUCGCCUUAAGGGAAAGAAUGAGUUAAAUGGACCAAUAUUUUAGCCUUGGCUCUAAAACUGGGCCUUUUCAGAAACUCCUCAGCACCUGCAGCAGCUAGGUCAUUUGCACAUACAUAAAUAAAUAAAUUAACAAUGAAUAAAUAAUUUAAUCCCGCCACACAAUGCCACCUUGCAGAUCUGAUCCUUUGCUCCCAGUGAAUUUGUCCAUUCCUAAUUCUUUUUGAUAAAGUCUUCAGAUACUUGCUGACUGUCAGUCUAAUUUUCUUAUUGUUUUCGCUUGAUUAGUUCUGUAUGACCUAAGGUCGCCCUUAAAAUCCACAUCUCUCGUGAAGACUCCGAAAGGCCUUCUUUUUUUUCAAAGGGAUGGAAAGUGCCUGCCAUUUCUCCGGACAAAAGCCUGGAAGGUUUUCAGUUAUUAGCCUUCUGAAGCAGCCCUUUCGCUCACCCAAGCGCAAAAAAAACUCAUUAGGGGGCACCUUUCUUUCUGCCUUCUUCAUCUGAUGCGUGUGGGGUUUACGUGUUUCAAGACUUUCAGGUCUCGGAUGGAUUUGGGCAGCCUCCCUUUUAACCCUGCCGGACUGUGGUUACGCCCUGGGCAGAGAUUGGCUGUAUCUGUGUGCACUGAACCACCUGGAGAUGCUUCGUCCUUUCAGCAGCUGUUUUACACCCCGCUGGUCUGCUGUUCUGUUGAGCGCUUCUGCCCGACGUACAGCACUGCCAUACCUGUGCCUGCCUCUUAGGAAAAAGAGCAACCCAAAAGUAUACUGACAGUUACAGUGACGGGAAGACUCUCUGAAGAGCCCUUAAGAAGCCACAUGUUGGCAGCUGAAUUUCAAUCCAUCCCAAAUCUCCACAGCUUCCUGCUAGAAGAGGAUGAAAUUGACCACAUGCUCUCAAAAUUCAUCUCAGUCUGAAAAGGCAGGUUAACUGCAAAUCCAUUUGGGGAAAAAAUUAUAACAACAACAACAACAACAAAAUUAAAAACUGCUACAAAUUAAUGUAGAAUAUUCCUUUGAGAAGGAUAACAGCCUUUAUGUCCCCCCAGUUGCCUAUCCUUCUAACUACGUCACAUGUAUAUUUCUCCUAUUUAUGUCCCUGGUCUAUUGACUGUGGGUCUGUACUGUACGUUGUUUUGUGGAGAGGUGGUAGAAGCCCUUUCUGAGAGCUUAAAGCAAAGCUGAAAAUAAGGCAGUUACAAACUAUGCGUAACGUAUGUUAUGUGACUGAGAAAACGAGCUGUCUGAAAAGGGGAGGCUAAGGUGCUCUAUGGAGAUUUGAGAAGGUGAAAUAUUCAAGCUGCUUUGCUGCCGGGUGCCUCCUCACAACAGAGCAGUGUUCCUUUGGCCUCACAGAAUUAGUUUAAGUCCUGCACGUGCAUGUGGGAGGGUAGAUUACUGUGCCUAGUUGUGUCAUCUUUUCUUCUUGGAGGAACAGUUCAUGCCUUCAGUACAGCAGGCAGUAGGACCUGCUCUGCAGUUGUUCUGCACCUGACUUCACUUUCACCAUCAGUGUAACUCAGUGUUUAGGACCAAGGUAGGUUACUUAUUUUCCUUACAUCUUUGCAAACACAGGGCUGUGUGUCUCAGUUAGUAAACUGAGCACCAAGAGCCAGUGAAAUAUGGAUCACUUACCUGUUUGGUAAGGUCUCUGCUGAUGCAGCUACAUCAUGCCUCCUCCUCGUGUAGCAGCUCUAGCUUCAGGGGUUUCCAGAAAGCUUUGUCUACUUGCAAGAGCUAAGGAUUUGGUCCAGAAUAUACACAAGUAGGUAAAUAGCAUGUUUGUUUGGUUGCUUUAAUAUACUGACUUUCCUGCAGGCAGUAAUUUGUAACCGACUAUAAGCAUUGGUACCCUUAGGCAACAUUUAAUUGGUUGUCAUGCAUCUUAGCCAUCUAACAGGUUUUUUUGGCUUUCCACAACGAAAAAUACACUUCUGGUCUUGUUCUUUUUCCAAAUACUUUCCCUCCUCCAGACAUCAAAGGGAAUUUACAGAACUUUCAGUAAUAAAACUCCAAUAAAAGGUUGCUUUUUUCCUCUCUCUUUGGUUAAAGAAAUGAGAAGGUAACAUAUGAAUAAAGUAUGUGAUGUAA
This is a long non-coding RNA of Gallus gallus (chicken), 3370 nucleotides long. NCBI's taxonomy places the organism in Eukaryota, Metazoa, Chordata, Aves, Galliformes, Phasianidae. The record is from Ensembl.